Non-coding RNA from Tulasnella sp. 403, 72 nucleotides. The record is from the annotation of a GenBank genome assembly. NCBI's taxonomy places the organism in Eukaryota, Fungi, Basidiomycota, Agaricomycetes, Cantharellales, Tulasnellaceae.
GCAUCGUUAGCUGAAUGGUACAGCGUUUGCCUUCGAAGCAAAAAGUUAUUGGUUCGAGUCCAAUAUGAUGUU